AACACUAUAAUAAAUUAAACAUUAUAAGAAAAUUAAAUCAACAAUUAAACCAAACAAUUAAACUAAAUAAUUAAACCAAAGAAAAAUUAAAAAAACAAAAAAACCUAAACCCUACACAAUGGAGAGACACAGCCGCUUAUGGAUUCAUGGCCGCAAAAGGUUACAAUCAACCCAGACGCCGCCGCUCAUGGAUUCGUGGCUGCAAAAGACACCGCCGUUCAUGGAUUCAUGACCAUUGCCUCAAGCUUUUCGACCAAUCUCAGAGGCGAAGUAGAACUUGGACGAAAUCUCCAGAUCUAUCACCACCAGUCUCACCGGACAUUAUCCUUCAAAUCUCAACAAGGAAAAACCACCAUGACAGCACCGCAAAAGGAGCACCACCACCGGAUCUCGUCCUCACACAGCAGCAUUUGUUUCCACCAAAAUAACAAAAGCUUAGUUUUGUGAUUUUUCUUAAAAAAUUAGAUGAAGAAGAAUGAAGUUUGGGGAAAAAGAAGAGAAAAAACUGAAGAGAUGAAAAAAAGAGGCGGCCAUUUAGAAUGAAAGAGGUAAGGAAAAU
This 559-nucleotide long non-coding RNA is filed under the name Eutrema salsugineum. RNAcentral's name for it is "long non-coding RNA (ESAL_LNC001610)". Lineage: Eukaryota; Viridiplantae; Streptophyta; Magnoliopsida; Brassicales; Brassicaceae. The record is from RNAcentral.